GACGGUAUAGCUCAGUGGUCUAGCACGUGCUUCGCAUGCAUGAGGUCCUGAAUUCAAUCCCCAGUACCUCCA
RNAcentral lists this transfer RNA (72 nucleotides) under Camelus bactrianus (Bactrian camel). It matches the Rfam family "tRNA". From Rfam's summary of the family: Transfer RNA (tRNA) molecules are approximately 80 nucleotides in length. Lineage: Eukaryota; Metazoa; Chordata; Mammalia; Artiodactyla; Camelidae. The record is from Rfam by way of RNAcentral. RNAcentral also lists the same sequence under 1 other name.